GAACGCACCUUGCGCCCUUUGGCUAUUCCGAAGGGCAUGCCUGUUUGAGUAUCAUGAACACCUCAACUCUCAUGGUUUGCCAUGAUGAGCUUGGACUUUGGGGGUCUUGCUGGCCUAUGGUCGGCUCCUCUCAAACGAAUCAGCUUACCAGUGUUUGGUGGCGUCACAGGUGUGAUAACUAUCUACGCUUGUGGCUUUCCAUCAGGUAACCUUCAGCGAUGGAGGUUUGCUGGGGGCUCAUAAAUGUCUCUCCUCAGCGAGGACAGCUUUUUUGAACGUUUGAUCUCAAAUCAGGUAGGACUACCCGCUGAACUUA
RNAcentral lists this unclassified non-coding RNA (316 nucleotides) under uncultured Thelephoraceae. Its description in RNAcentral is "sequence contains 5.8S rRNA gene". Lineage: Eukaryota; Fungi; Basidiomycota; Agaricomycetes; Thelephorales; Thelephoraceae. The record is from RNAcentral.